Molecule: ribosomal RNA, 253 nt
Filed under: uncultured bacterium
Lineage: Bacteria
Description: partial 16S ribosomal RNA
Rfam family: Bacterial small subunit ribosomal RNA
Source: RNAcentral
UACGGAGGGUGCAAGCGUUGUCCGGAUUUAUUGGGUUUAAAGGGUGCGUAGGCGGGUAAUUAAGUCAGUGGUGAAAGCCCACAGCUCAACUGUGGAGGCGCCAUUGAUACUGGUUAUCUUGAGUGUAGUUGAGGCAGGCGGAAUUUACGAUGUAGCGGUGAAAUGCAUAGAUAUCGUAAAGAACACCUAUAGCGAAGGCAGCUUGCUAAGCUACUACUGACGCUGAGGCACGAAAGCAUAGGGAGCAAACAGG